Small nuclear RNA from Neogale vison (American mink), 105 nucleotides. The record is from RefSeq and is a predicted model, not a curated record. NCBI's taxonomy places the organism in Eukaryota, Metazoa, Chordata, Mammalia, Carnivora, Mustelidae.
GCGCUUGCUUUGGUAGCACAUAUACUAAAAUUGGAACGAUACAGAGAAGAUUAGCACAGCCCCUGCGCAAGGAUCACCUCUUCCCUGGUGUCCUUCGUGCUUUUU